This 399-nucleotide long non-coding RNA is filed under the name Bos indicus x Bos taurus (hybrid cattle). RNAcentral describes it as "lncRNA (ENSBIXG00000000930.1)". Lineage: Eukaryota; Metazoa; Chordata; Mammalia; Artiodactyla; Bovidae. The record is from RNAcentral.
CCUGGUUCGGUGUUGAACAGUAGGAGUCCUGGCUCCUUCAAGAUCAGAGCUCUCAGGUAGAGUCAGCCGUCCAGAGCCAUUGGUUUGGAAUCUUAUCUUUUCCUUAAUUUGAUGAACAUUCACCACCCCUCCUGCAAGAAACUGUUGACAUGCUGACGAGAAGAAAAAGAAGUCUCACAGUCAAAUGAUGUGAUUCCAGUUACAAGGAUCCACUUAAGCCAGCUUUUGAUGUCCUGUCUGCUCCCAGGCUAUCGGUUCAGGAAAUGCCGUGUGGUCUAUUCCCAUGAGGCAUUCUGACCAACUGGAUGGGACCUCACAGAGAAGGAUAGGUUGUUUCUGCUAAGGGAAUGGUUUCAAUUGUGAGAAAGCAGAAGCUUGAGAAUGUAUGGACUUGGUGAC